UCCUCUGUAGUUCAGUCGGUAGAACGGCGGACUGUUAAUCCGUAUGUCACUGGUUCGAGUCCAGUCGGAGGAGCCA
RNAcentral lists this transfer RNA (76 nucleotides) under Escherichia coli. RNAcentral's name for it is "tRNA-Asn". It matches the Rfam family "tRNA". Rfam says of the family: Transfer RNA (tRNA) molecules are approximately 80 nucleotides in length. Their secondary structure includes four short double-helical elements and three loops (D, anti-codon, and T loops). Further hydrogen bonds mediate the characteristic L-shaped molecular structure. tRNAs have two regions of fundamental functional importance: the anti-codon, which is responsible for specific mRNA codon recognition, and the 3' end, to which the tRNAs corresponding amino acid is attached (by aminoacyl-tRNA synthetases). tRNAs cope with the degeneracy of the genetic code in two manners: having more than one tRNA (with a specific anti-codon) for a particular amino acid; and 'wobble' base-pairing, i.e. permitting non-standard base-pairing at the 3rd anti-codon position. RNAcentral also lists the same sequence under 9 other names. The record is from RNAcentral. Lineage: Bacteria; Pseudomonadati; Pseudomonadota; Gammaproteobacteria; Enterobacterales; Enterobacteriaceae.